This 261-nucleotide ribosomal RNA is filed under the name uncultured archaeon. Its description in RNAcentral is "partial 16S ribosomal RNA". It matches the Rfam family "Archaeal small subunit ribosomal RNA", at positions 748 to 1005 of the family's 1478-position model. The record is from RNAcentral.
UAGCCGUAAACGAUACUCGCUAGGUGUCGGCCACGGUGCGACCGUUGUCGGUGCCGUAGGGAAGCCGUGAAGCGAGCCACCUGGGAAGUACGGCCGCAAGGCUGAAACUUAAAGGAAUUGGCGGGGGAGCACAACAACGGGUGGAGCUUGCGGUUUAAUUGGACUCAACGCCGGGAAGCUCACCGGAUAAGACAGCGGAAUGAUUGCCGGGCUGAAGACUCUGCAUGACUAGCUAGAGAGGAGGUGCAUGGCGUAGACGUC